RNAcentral lists this ribosomal RNA (347 nucleotides) under uncultured Lachnospiraceae bacterium. Its description in RNAcentral is "partial 16S ribosomal RNA". The record is from RNAcentral. Lineage: Bacteria; Bacillati; Bacillota; Clostridia; Lachnospirales; Lachnospiraceae.
GGAGUUUGGGCCGUGUCUCAGUCCCAAUGUGGCCGUUCACUCUCUCAAGCCGGCUACUGAUCGUUGCCUUGGUGGGCCGUUACCUCACCAACUAGCUAAUCAGACGCGGGUCCAUCCCAUAGCGCAAAAGCUUUCAAUGUAGAAGCAUGCGGAUCUACAUUACUAUGCGGUAUUAGCAGUCGUUUCCAACUGUUGUCCCCCUCUAUGGGGCAGGUUACCCACGCGUUACUCACCCGUCCGCCACUAAGUCAUCCUCGGGUGUGUCCGUUCGUAGCAAGCUACUCCCUUCCACGGAUGAGGAUGCUUCGUUCGACUUGCAUGUGUUAAGCACGCCGCCAGCGUUCAUC